RNAcentral lists this unclassified non-coding RNA (1136 nucleotides) under Bombus terrestris (buff-tailed bumblebee). RNAcentral describes it as "misc RNA ENSBTSG00005026072.1". Lineage: Eukaryota; Metazoa; Arthropoda; Insecta; Hymenoptera; Apidae. The record is from RNAcentral.
AUCAGAACUGUCGUCUUCUGAUAAACAAUUCAUUUUAAAAACGCUUUAAACACAAGAAUUUUCCUUGUUACGAAUUAGUUUCUUGUCAACGUCUUGUAUCACAUUGCAACAGUCUUCGUUUCAAAAUAUGCAAACAAUGAAAAUGGUUGAAUAUGUACCACACCUAUGAAAAUAUAAUAUGUAUAGUAUAUAAAUAACUAUGGGAUAAAGAAGAUAUAUAACAUGAAAUAGGAAAAAAAUUUAAACUUUGAAAGAGAAAAGAAAGAUAAUAGAAAGAUUCUAUAAUUUACUUGAGCACGAUGUGUAUCAUUACUUUUUCAAACAGGUGUUUUGCACAUAUAUUAAUUACAAAGUUUAAUACCAGAAGACAAAUAAUAAAAAGACAAACUUGGAAGACAGGAAUUGAAUACCCAUACGAGUUUGUUCUUAAACUAAUUAAGUCACAUGUAUAUAUACCUUUUAUGAAUAUAUAUGAUUUUCUAACUAAAGACUUGUUCUUAUAUGCAUAUAUUUCUCUACAAUUUAUACAAUAGAGUAAGAAAGAUAGAAGAAUAGAUGUAUUUUCCACUACUUACUUUCACCAUAGUUUAUUACUAGUUUUCCUUCAUAUCAAUAAAUGUGUAAAUUGAUACUCUUAGAUAGUAUGUGUGCCAAGGAUAGUGAUUAACUCUCUAUUAUGGAAUACAGGCCAUUAAAAGACAAGGUUGUCUAUUACACUGGAAUAACAUAAUGUUGUUGGUACAUGAGCUGUCACACUGACCACAAGGCUGAUAUCACUAUAUUAUUAUUGGCGACUAUCACAGUGGAGAUAGCUAUUUAUUUUACGAAUUUCGAAAUUUCGAUCUUACACACUUUUAAGAAACAAUAACAAUAUCAGAGUGUAAGACAGAAACAAUAACAAUUGCGAAUCAAGAGUAUUAAAAUUUGGCCCAUUUACAUAACCGGUAUUGCAAGUAAAAAUAAUUACAUAUGCAUAUAUGCAUUCUCAAAAGAAUUAAAAUUACGCAGUAAAAUAAUGUAAUAAAAUAAGACUUUUAUUGAAGACCCAAUGAAAAGUAAGAUUUUAUGCAAAUGUUUGAUAUUUUGAUAUUUUUUUCUUUCUUUAAUAAAUAUCUCAGUGGAAAAUCCUAAUGUGU